AAAUCCGUUGGUUUUAUAGACCG
RNAcentral lists this transfer RNA (23 nucleotides) under Cephalotaxus harringtonia. RNAcentral's name for it is "partial tRNA-Leu". The record is from RNAcentral. Lineage: Eukaryota; Viridiplantae; Streptophyta; Pinopsida; Cupressales; Taxaceae.